AAAUUGAAGAGUUUGAUCAUGGCUCAGAUUGAACGCUGGCGGCAGGCCUAACACAUGCAAGUCGAACGGUAACAGGAAGCAGCUUGCUGCUUCGCUGACGAGUGGCGGACGGGUGAGUAAUGUCUGGGAAACUGCCUGAUGGAGGGGGAUAACUACUGGAAACGGUAGCUAAUACCGCAUAACGUCGCAAGACCAAAGAGGGGGACCUUCGGACCUCUUGCCAUCGGAUGUGC
This 233-nucleotide ribosomal RNA is filed under the name Escherichia coli. RNAcentral describes it as "partial 16S ribosomal RNA". It matches the Rfam family "Bacterial small subunit ribosomal RNA", at positions 1 to 230 of the family's 1533-position model. The record is from RNAcentral. Lineage: Bacteria; Pseudomonadati; Pseudomonadota; Gammaproteobacteria; Enterobacterales; Enterobacteriaceae.